This 532-nucleotide ribosomal RNA is filed under the name uncultured bacterium. RNAcentral describes it as "bacterial SSU rRNA". It matches the Rfam family "Bacterial small subunit ribosomal RNA", at positions 9 to 511 of the family's 1533-position model. The record is from RNAcentral.
GAGUUUGAUCCUGGCUCAGAAUGAACGCUGGCGGCGUGCUUAACACAUGCAAGUCGAACGAGAACUCUUUGAGCUUGCUCGAAGAUAGUAAAGUGGCGCACGGGUGAGUAACGCGUGGGUAAUCUGCCUCCGAAACGGGGAUAACAUUGCGAAAGCGAUGCUAAUACCGGAUAAUAUCCUGUUGGCUUAGGUGAACGGGAUCAAAGGUGGUCUCUUUUUAAAAGCUACCGAUCGGAGAUGAGCUCGCGUACCAUUAGCCAGUUGGUGGGGUAAAGGCCUACCAAGGCGACGAUGGUUAGCUGGUCUGAGAGGAUGAUCAGCCACACCGGAACUGGAACACGGUCCGGACUCCUACGGGAGGCAGCAGUGAGGAAUUUUGCGCAAUGGGGGGAACCCUGACGCAGCAACGCCGCGUGAGUGAUGAAGGCUUUCGGGUCGUAAAGCUCUGUCAGGUGGGAAGAACCUGUAUGAUGACAAUACCAUCAUACACUGACGGUACCACCGAAGGAAGCACCGGCUAACUCCGUGCCAG